GGCAUUAGUCCUCCAUUGUAAUCUAUUUAGUAUGGAAGUUGAAAAAAAAUCAAUUACCUAUCUUAUUUGGGGUACUUCUUUCAUAAAAAAUGUCAAUUUUGACACCUAAAAAAAUUAAAUUAAAUAUGUAUAGCUUAAAAUUAAAAACUUUACUUGGAAAUCUUGUUUACAAUGAUAAGACCCAUGUCUGUGCAAAAUUUGGUGAGGAAAUAAAAAAUGAGACAUGCAUAUGCCC
Molecule: long non-coding RNA, 235 nt
Filed under: Brachypodium distachyon (stiff brome)
Lineage: Eukaryota; Viridiplantae; Streptophyta; Magnoliopsida; Poales; Poaceae
Description: long non-coding RNA (BDIS_LNC001187)
Source: RNAcentral